AUGGAGGCAGAGUUGGUCAGUGCAAAGUUGUGCGAAGCGAAGCCAGGCUACGCAGACAAGCAGGCCGAGGGCGAAGGCGGUCGGGUGCCACAGAUGGAGGCGCUGGGACAGGGUGGUGAGGUGAAGAGGACGGGGUCGAGAGCAGCUACAGUGCGUGCAUCUGUCCCCUCCUUUGUUUUUUCACCAAGCCUACCUAAAAUCUAUCAAAUUAUUCAGGGAAAUUUGAUUGAAGAUAUGAUUGAUGGCGAUUCUAGAAAAGUGUUUGCUCCAUCAGAUUCACAUAAAAAGAAAUUGCACAACUGCAUCAUGGCUGUCCAGUAUAUGAAGGAAGCUCCGGUUCUGAUAUCUGAUGCAGAUGCAGUCAGAGUUUCAGCAGAAUAUAUUCUUAAUGGCGACAAGGAACUAAUUCUUGCAUUUCUAUGGAAUAUGUUCAUUCAUAUGCAGGUUAAUCUACACAUGUCGUUCAGUAUCUCAUUACUCAUGUUGAAGUUUUAUACUGUUUUAUUUCACCUUUCGUUUGUACUGAAGAGGUGGACUAAUGGACUGACUUUGUAUUUUUCACUCACUGCAUAG
RNAcentral lists this ribosomal RNA (573 nucleotides) under Triticum aestivum (bread wheat). RNAcentral describes it as "partial small subunit ribosomal RNA". The record is from RNAcentral. Lineage: Eukaryota; Viridiplantae; Streptophyta; Magnoliopsida; Poales; Poaceae.